Molecule: microRNA precursor, 64 nt
Filed under: Marmota monax (woodchuck)
Lineage: Eukaryota; Metazoa; Chordata; Mammalia; Rodentia; Sciuridae
Source: RNAcentral
UUUGUGUGUGUGCUUGUGUGUGUGUGUGUGUAGACACACACACACACACACACACACAUGUAUA